CGUGCUUGAAAAUUCGUCAAGUUUUGUCCCUUUCCCACUCCAUGAUGCAAAAGUGAAGAAGAGAAGCGAAAAGGAAUGAGUGCUCUCGCUCCAAGUGAAGUUCCAUGAAAGGGUGAGGCAAUACCCAGUGCUGCUGAUCUGACUCUCUCUUGUUUAGUGUCUCUACACGAACUGCCGCCCACUAGUGCCUCACCUUAUAUUAAUAUGCGUAAUAUUUGUUCUCUUAUUGUGCGUUUCGGUUGCGUUUUCGAUGCGGUUUCGGUGCGGUUUUGUCGUAACUUCGCCACUCGUACGGUGACUCUCUCCAUCAGAAGCGUAAGAUUAGCAGCAAAAUGAUGGAUUCAAUCUAAACUAUUGCCAUUUGUUGUGAGACAAGACAAGCAGGAGACAGAUACAAAAGUAUCUGCCUGGAUGUUUCUUGAUUCAAGAGAUUAGACCUUAAAUAUAUUCACGGUCGAUCUGGAGUACAAUAAAAUUUAGCCAACAAUAGGCUACAUCGUUUCUGAAGCCCACCCCCUCCGCUGCUCCGCUACUCAUUUAAAUUCAAGUUUGUUUUGCGAGAAAAUAAAAGAAAAAUAAAUACAAAAAAAUGUGGGGAAAACGAAGCAAAGAACGAGAGGGAAACGAGAGAAAAUGCCAAUGGUGGGGACCGGAUGGAAAUGUUAAUAAUGAAACAACAAAAUCCAAAUGAAUGCGUUGCAAAUCGAAAAAUAAUAAAAACAGAACUUGUCCUCGGCCACGACCCUCGAGGACAUCCUGGAGGGUAAUCGUGGGGCAUUGGCCGCCCGGACAGGAGGCCCUCAUUACGUAUUCCCUGAACAAAUUCUAUUAAUUAUCGUUAUGUCCCUCUGAUGGGUGACUGCAAUUGGAAGGUUUCCUGCUGUUUGCUGUUGGCUGUUGGCUCUGGCUCCUGGCCCCCAAUAAAAGUUACACCAGGAUUUCCAUUACCUCCCGCACCCCCUCCCCCCCUAACACAUAAUCGAUAUCGAUUCUUAGUGGACCCUCAGGGCCUUAGGUUUUGUUAUACCCAACAAGGGAUAUUUUAAAACGUUUAACAGACAAUUUUGUGCCUACUUUGGUGGGAAUAUUUUCAAAAAACCCAAAAAAUAAAAAACGAAAAAAAACAUGAACCCAGCAAUCCAUGACCGACCAAAGCCCCAAUGUCAGAUUCGAUAUCGUGUGAGAAUACUGGAAAAUGUUCAGUAUUGCUAGCAGCGUGGACAGUAAAAUACAUAAAAUAAAAACUCCAAAUUUCUAAAUUUUUUAAGUAAAAAGUUAAGUUUAUACAAAGGCGAUGGAACCAAGCACGUUUUCGUAUCUGUACUCUAAUACUCUGUACUCUGUACUCUGUACUCUGGACUCUGCACAGUCCAAUCCACAUUCUCAAUUACAUUACAUUCCCCCCGACGACAAAAGAAGAUGACUUUCAAGGUAGUCGCUCGCAAUAAGUGGAAUCUGGUGUUCACUUAUCGAAAAAUCAAAAAAUUAAAAUCGAAAAACGCUAACGACUAUUUUGAUCCUGAAAAUGAUUAUAUUUUGAUACUAAUAAUUA
RNAcentral lists this small RNA (1552 nucleotides) under Drosophila pseudoobscura pseudoobscura. Its description in RNAcentral is "GA31442". Lineage: Eukaryota; Metazoa; Arthropoda; Insecta; Diptera; Drosophilidae. The record is from RNAcentral.